Non-coding RNA from Monodelphis domestica (gray short-tailed opossum), 1736 nucleotides. The record is from RefSeq and is a predicted model, not a curated record. Lineage: Eukaryota; Metazoa; Chordata; Mammalia; Didelphimorphia; Didelphidae.
ACUUGCGCGUGCGUACGCGCAAGCGCAACUCUUUGAAGUAUCCCUGGGCGGGCCGGUUGGUAUCCUUGGCGGCCAUGGCUCUAGCUGGAAGUUCGGCGUCGGUGGGGGCCCGCGGGCUUAGGCUGAGGCUGACGCGGAAAAAACCGCUGGCUCCCCCCUCCUCCUCCUGCUCCGGACCUGGUGGAGAGGGGCAGGAGGGCAGAACGUUAAACCAUUGCUCUUGGUUGGACCAAGAAGGGUUAAAUGAAUCUGAAGAAUUGUGGCGAAUGCUGGUGUUGAGAAGUGUGAACUCCAAUCUGAAUGCGGCCAACCAGGAAAUGCCAGCUUUACCAGCAUUCUUUGACAAGAAUACCAGAAAUGAGAACUCCCAGGAACCAGCCAUCUUUACAGUUGGAACAGAAGAGUUUCAGUGGAUACCUUUCCCCUCUGCUUUUCAGUUCAUUGGGGAUCAGUUUAAAAAUCCAGAUUCUUAUUUCACAAAGGAGAAGCCUCAUCAGAUUCCCUGUGAACAUGAGCAGGGAGAAGGCCAACAGAGCAGUGGGCCUUCCCCCCAGGAAACAUCUACUAUGGGUCCUGAGAAAUGGGAACCAAAGCCCAGCAGUGGAGUUGGGGUGAAAAGGCCCUUGGAGCUGAGAGACAACGGCGUAAAGGCUUCGAAGAGCAGAUUUACACAGCUUUCCCAGCUUAGGAAAAAACAGAGACUUCGGGCUGAGGGGGGUGCCUUCUCCCCAGCAUCUCCCCAGAACUUUGUUGUGGGCUCAAGCUCUCCAGGACCUCCCCCUUGGAAAAAGCCUGGAAACAGCCUUUGCCUGGAAGGUGUGGGAGUGGAAAAAGAGGCCACCGCCACUGCUGCCACAAGCCAGGGGAUGGUGGAACUUGAUUGCUGUCCAAUAUGCCAGAUCCCAUUUACUGGAAAGCUGUCGCAGCUGGAUAUCGAUAGUCAUCUGGCUAAAUGCUUGUCAGAGAGUAUUGAAGAUGUCAUAUGUGUGCCAAGUCCUAAUCCCAAGGAAAGUUAGCUGUGAAUCAGGAACAGGGAAACAAAAAAGUCUCAUCCUAGCACCUCAUGACUUGGAUGUGAGUCCGAGAGAUGUCAUGUUCAGCAUCGAGUGUGAUGCUGUACCCUGAGAAACCUACAUGUUAAUGCAGAGAGAGUGGAAGAGAAUUCAAGUGGAGCCUGCAUCUUUGCCUGCAUAGAGGAAGGAAGAAUGAAAGAUGGAAAAAGAGAAGUGAUUUGCCAAGGGCCACAAAAUAAUCGAGAGGCAGGAAAAGAUCUAUAACCCAGGCCCCUUCUCCUUCCUCCCCUCUAGUUUCAUUCCUGGUCAGCCAAGACACAUGAGAAGCAAUUGGUCAAAAAGUCAGAGGAUGCCCAAGGAAGCUCUUAAUAGCCUGGACCACAUCUAGGAGGUAAAAGUAAUCACUCCUCUGAGGAAUCUAAGAAAACACAAGCCUUUAUCACCUUGCAAGCAGGGCUUUCCCAGGCCUGCUUUGAAUGAUGAUGAAGAGGCCAGUCAAGUACAGAACCUCUGGCUCAUUAGAACUAGAGGCCACCUUCUUAGAAAUCAAGUAGCCCAUCCUCUCUAGUGGCCAUGGCAGACCACUACGAUGGCAUUUGGCAGCAGAGAGGGGGUGCUGGCUGGUCUGGUCUGGGGAACCAGGGGUUCAAGGCCUACUCAGGUGAUAAACUUUGAAUGUGGCACCCAGGAAGGAAACAUGCAAUAAAUUCUCUGUGGCCAGUA